RNAcentral lists this non-coding RNA (25 nucleotides) under Drosophila melanogaster (fruit fly). RNAcentral also lists the same sequence under 2 other names. The record is from RNAcentral. Lineage: Eukaryota; Metazoa; Arthropoda; Insecta; Diptera; Drosophilidae.
AGGUGAACCUGCGGUAGGAUCAUUG